Zonotrichia leucophrys gambelii is the source of this 2050-nucleotide long non-coding RNA. RefSeq lists it as uncharacterized. The record is from RefSeq and is a predicted model, not a curated record. The transcript is spliced from 4 exons. Lineage: Eukaryota; Metazoa; Chordata; Aves; Passeriformes; Passerellidae.
CACUUAGGUCCACAAGAGAAAGGUUUAUUUGGUAACCAAGAGUGAAAAUGCAGGUGGAGCUUAAGCUGCACCGGGUCCUGAGAGUGUGUUAUGUUUCUUCUGCUGUACAGAAAGUGUCAUACUGCUGAAUACUGUGGGAGAUGCUGAGUGCCAGCAUUAAAGCUGGAAGUGUUUGAGGGCUGUGGACAGAACUCCCACGGAGAGGCAGAGGAAGUGCAGCCUGACAGAUGGAGUCAGCGCCUUUCCAGGAAUGCCCCUGCAUGGGACAUCAACCUCUUGUUCCACAAAAUGCUUCACUCCAGUCACUAUCCCCAAAGUCCUUCAGAAGAAAACUAGCAGCUGAAGAGACUGGCAAUUCUCAUUCUAUCACAUCACACUAACAGCAUGUCCUUUCCUGCAUCUUCAACCUUGAGCUGUACCUGUUCAGGAGCUGGCGGAUGAAUGCAGUGACCAGAGGGCUGCACAGAGGCUUCCAGCCACAGCUGAACUUCCUUUGUAUUGUGAGCUGCUGAAAAUAGCUUUGAGGGCAGCUAGGAGAACCUGUACCUAGGCAUUGAAUUCUAUACCUUAGUAACAUGGCUGCUUUCUGUUCAGCUGACCACACAUGGUUUUGACUCCUUGGAAAUAAUAUUAUUAGCAAUUCAGUUUCCUGCAUCCAAAUAUUUAAAUUUAAAAAGUAGCCAAAGUAAUCCACACAAAAACAAUAUGGAAAGAGAUGUGGGAAGGACUGCAAGAUAGUCUCACCGUAAAUGAAAUAAGGGUAUUUGAAUCUCAGAGAAAUAUUUCUAUCCUUGCAGACAUUUUUUCACCCUUAAUAAAAAGAAGUAGAAUAGGAAUUUGCUGUUAAAGAUUAUAUCUGAAUCAAUGUAAUAAAAAUACUGCAUUCCAAGAGAAAAUAGAUGAAGUAACGAAGAGGAAGAAAAAACAAACAAAAGAAAUAAUAAGUUUUUGUCUUAAAAUUUACAUGAGGUAAAGGGUGGAACGAUGCUCUUAGUCUGUCAUGAGUGCAUGGAAGCCUGUGGGGAAAUGGAAAUUAAUGUGAUGCAUUAAUUUAAUCAGUAUCUCUACAUAUGUGAUAUCUGCCCAAGAAAAGUUACUUAUAGUACCAUGCAGGAUGCUGUGUGGGCUGAUGGUGCAUUGGAAAUAACACUAAUGCUCCUAAAAACUACAUGUGACCUUAAAUCCACAAAGAAAAGAAGAAUGCAACAGAAUUAAAACACGUAAAGUCACUAAAAUGUGAAUGUUAUGAUAUGAGGCAAACUGAUAUUUUGCUAGGCUUUUAUUUUUACAUUAUUCAGAAGACAUAAAGAAAACCAGUACCUAGGAAAAAGGGUAUGAAAAAGGGGUAAAGAAAAUUUAAGUGUGUUUGGAGAAAGGCAGAACCAGGCAUAGCUUAGGAUCCUUCUCAAGAAAAAGUCCUACAAAAAUGUGUGGAUUUGAUUACUUAUUUCCCAUAAACUCUUAAAUAGUCAUUUAUUUUAUAGCAGAACACUAACCAAAUGCAAUAUGGGUUUUCAUAGCUACCAGCUCAGCAAAACAUCACAUAAUACUGACUUUACAAUCACUUUUCACUCAUCUUGUAUUGAAAGCAAUGUAUUUUGACAAAAGUGUUCAUCUCUAUACACCUUUUCCAAAAUUAUGAGCAAAAAAAUUCUGUAGUGUAAAAAAUGAAAGCAAAAAUCCUGUUAAUAUUAGAAGAUAUUUAUUUUAAAAUACUAAAUAUUUCAGUUAUUUCUCUGUGCUCCCUCAGAGAAAAAUGUUUAAAUGAGAAAAUCCUCUGUGGCUUUCAAAAUUAACUGACUCUCCUGUUGGCAGUCAAAGCUCAGAAGCCAGCUAUUCUUUUCCAUUAAAAUAAUCCCUCUAUGUCCUGGAAUGAGAAUGCCUGUAUUCGUGGGGGCAAACAAAGACCAAUGGUGGCUUCAUUCCCUCUGCUAAUAGAUUUUAGUUAAUCUUCUGAGAACUAUUCUACUUUCUAAGUUUCAUAACAAUUAGAUUCUGCAUUACCUACUAGUGUACACUGGUGACAACAAAAGAAAAUAAAGUUUUUAUG